Molecule: long non-coding RNA, 211 nt
Filed under: Mytilus galloprovincialis (Mediterranean mussel)
Lineage: Eukaryota; Metazoa; Mollusca; Bivalvia; Mytilida; Mytilidae
Source: RNAcentral
UAUGCGUUUACUUUUCUACAUUGGCUAGAGGUAUAGGGGGAGGGUUGAGAUCUCACAAACAUGUUUAACCCCGCCGCAUUUUUGAGCCUGUCCCAAGUCAGGAGCCUCUGGCCUUUGUUAGUCUUGUAUUAUUUUAAGUUUAGUUUCUUGUGUACAAUUUGGAAAUUAGUAUGGCGUUCAUUAUCACUGAACUAGUAUAUAUUUGUUUAGG